GGAGCAGAAGACAAUGUUUGGCUCCUUCCUUCUUAUGUUAUCUAACAAUACAGCAUCAUUGUGGUUGAAAAGGUGGUGGGAACGGAUUGUGUAUUUUUCUGGAAAAGAUGGAAAACAAUACAGUCUGGACGUGGGUUUCCGCGACAAGGCUUGGGGUUACUCAUAAAUUGAUCCGUCAUCACCCACAUGGGUCAAGGUGAGUACCAGCAUGACACACUCCAUCUGUUCCCAAGCAAAUACACUUACCAAACUGAAAUUCCAUGUUUCAGGAUGCUUACGACAGCAACGUUUCUUGGCAAGUGAUUGGCGGAUGCAUAUUGUACAUCACAUCCUAACUGACUUUGGCAAGUAUUUACCCACGGGGUGGUGCAACAGCUUUGGAAGCGUGAUUGGGAGAUUUCUUUGACAAUAUUCUUGGCCUCUGGGUAAACCGGCCAGACUCCGUGGAGGAGGAGGAAGUGUGUGAGUUCACCUCAUGUGCGUAUCUUGUAGAUGCAACGUGUGUCUACACACUCCACACCAGCCUCUCCUCCCUUAAUGAUGCAUUCUCUCACUCGCCCGCUUGUGUCAACGUGAUUCACAGGCACGCUGACAUUUGAAUUGGUGUAAACACAGCAUGUUCAAAGGAUCUGUCUUGAUUCUAUUAAUGUGUCGCCGACUGUCGAUAGCCAUCUCUCACACGUGCAAACUCAUCUUUCACAGCUGAAGACCUUCUACAGUAUGUGGUCAGUGUGUGCUUUGGCCAACAAUGUACAUCAGGCCAGUGGGGAGACAAACCAUCAGAAGUUGCACUCAACGUUUAUUUUGAAACUUGGAAGGGUGUUGUGUGUGCAAGCUGUUUUUGUCUCAUUUGUUAACAAUGUAGACUUGAGAUCAAAUCCAAUUCUUUUUAGAAGCAGUGUGAGGUUGCGUAGAAUUGAAUGAAGCACAUGAAAUGUGGGUGUACAGAGCGUUGCAAGGUCCAUCCAGACUUUGUUGAAUUUUUGAGUCAUUCAACAUUAAGUUUUAGCAUCGUAUCACACUUGAAAAUUGACUCAAAGUGGAAUGAACCCAAUGACAAUAACCAGAUGCGCAUUUUCUAUAUGUUUGUUAAAAUGUUUAAUAAAAUGUCCACUUUGUUUUAUAUUAUGGUGUUACAAGGUGGUGUUUGUUAUAAAAGUUUGAGAACCACUGUUUUACAGUGCUGUGAGUGGUAUGGAGCAACCAAAACAUGAUGGACAUUCCAUUCAGUAUAGUUCGGCUGCGAUUGGCUGGCAACCAGUUGAGGGUGUCCCCCACCUACUGUCUGAAGAUGGCUGGGAUAGGCUCCAGCACGCCCGCAACUCUCGUGACGAUAAGCAUCUCGGUUCAUUGAUGGAUGCACAGUUUUGUUUUUCCAAUAGCAACCCUAAAAACAGAUGGAGACCAACACUGACGUUAGGUGUUAGGUUGUUGUUUCUAUUCUCAGCUUCUGACACUUUUGUUUCUAUUUCUGUCAUUGCUGUUGUGAAAGGCUCCAUCUGCAAUUUGCUACUGUAGGAGAUGUACACGCACUUACAUUCCAAGUGAUAGAAUUGACAGGUUUGCAUCGAUCUAACAUGUUGCGCAGCGGGGGCACAGUGAGAGACUUGGUCAGUGAAGUUGUCUGUGUUAUUUCUGGAAGCAGACACAACUUAUUGCUGCAGAGGAUCUUCUGUCCCCAAGAGUU
Molecule: long non-coding RNA, 1687 nt
Organism: Hippocampus comes (tiger tail seahorse)
Lineage: Eukaryota; Metazoa; Chordata; Actinopteri; Syngnathiformes; Syngnathidae
Exons: 2
Source: RefSeq, a predicted model, not a curated record